GACGAACGCUGGCGGUGUGCUUAACACAUGCAAGUCGAACGGUAAGGCCCUUUCGGGGGUACACGAGUGGCGAACAGGUGAGUAACACGUGAGUAACCUGCCCUCAUCUCUGGGAUAACAGUCGGAAACGGUUGCUAAUACUGGAUAUGAGCUUGCAAGGCAUCUUGUGGGUUGGAAAGAUUUUUUUGGUUGGGGAUGGACUCGCGGCCUAUCAGCUUGUUGGUGAGGUAGUGGCUCACCAAGGCUUCGACGGGUAGCCGGCCUGAGAGGGCGACCGGCCACAUUGGGACUGAGAUACGGCCCAAACUCUUACGGGAGGCAGCAGUGGGGAAUAUUGCACAAUGGACGGAAGUCUGAUGCAGCAACGCCGCGUGCGGGAUGACGGCCUUCGGGUUGUAAACCGCUUUCAAUUGUGACGAAGCUUUUUGUGACGGUAGCAGUAGAAGAAGCACCGGCUAACUACGUG
RNAcentral lists this ribosomal RNA (466 nucleotides) under uncultured bacterium. Its description in RNAcentral is "partial 16S ribosomal RNA". It matches the Rfam family "Bacterial small subunit ribosomal RNA", at positions 28 to 507 of the family's 1533-position model. The record is from RNAcentral.